This is a long non-coding RNA of Dalotia coriaria, 586 nucleotides long. RefSeq lists it as uncharacterized. The record is from RefSeq and is a predicted model, not a curated record. The transcript has 2 exons. NCBI's taxonomy places the organism in Eukaryota, Metazoa, Arthropoda, Insecta, Coleoptera, Staphylinidae.
UAUGUUUUUAUCAAUAAAAGCACGUAAACUCAAUUAUCUGAUGCGGAAAAUUUUUGUUGAGUGGAAUUUUUACGGUUUAUUUUAUUUUUUGUUAGUUUUAUUUUAGUGUGUGUUUUAAAUGGGGACUAAAAAGUUUGAUUUUGCACGUUUUAUUGCACAAAUGAUUGUUCAAACAAAAUUUUAGUGAUAAAUUACGUGUAUUGAUUGGGUAUAAAUAUAGAGGAAUAUUUGCCAGGUUGUAUUUUUGUGUUUUGCAAUCAUGAAGCCAAUUUUUGUAUUUUUCAUUAUUUUAUUUUCGGUUUUUUAGUUUCUGCUAAACCAUCACAUGAAAAAUGUGAUUCAGCAAAUCAUGAGGUGUACAACCCAUGUGGACCAAAGUGUCCAGAAAUCUGCGGCCUUCCAGUUCGAAUUUGCGUUGGUUGUACACCAGGUUGUUUUUGUAAAAAACAUUAUACACGCACCCAAGAUGGAAAAUGCGUCAAAAAUUGCCCAGAAGGUCAUAUUGCAUCAGUUAAAGUCCUCUAAACUAUGUUAUGUACAAAAGUAAACAAAAAUUGAUUUAAAAUAAAUUAAAUUCAUAAAAUAA